AACGAACGCUGGCGGCAUGCCUAACACAUGCAAGUCGAACGAGACCUUCGGGUCUAGUGGCGCACGUGUGCGUAACGCGUGGGAACCUUCCCUUAGGUUCGGAAUAACUCCCCGAAAGGUGUGCUAAUACCGGUUAAUGUCAUCGGACCAAAGAUUUAUCGCCUUUGGAUGGGCCCUUGUUGGAUUCGCUGUUUGGUAGUGUAAAAGCCUGCCAAGGCGACGAUGCAUAGCUGGUCUGAGAGGAUGAUAAGCCACACUGGCAAUGCGACACGGCCCAGACUCCUACGGGAGGGAGCAGUAGGGAAUAUAGGAGGAGGGGCGAAAGCGUAAUCCAGCAAUGCCGGGUGAGUGAUGAAGGCCUUAGGGUUGUAAAGUCGUCUUACCCGGGAUGAUAAUGACAGUACCGGGAGAAUAAGCUCCGGCUAACUACGUG
This 433-nucleotide ribosomal RNA is filed under the name uncultured bacterium. Its description in RNAcentral is "partial 16S ribosomal RNA". It matches the Rfam family "Bacterial small subunit ribosomal RNA", at positions 29 to 507 of the family's 1533-position model. The record is from RNAcentral.